This 2895-nucleotide ribosomal RNA is filed under the name Pseudomonas aeruginosa. RNAcentral describes it as "bacterial LSU rRNA". It matches the Rfam family "Bacterial large subunit ribosomal RNA". The record is from RNAcentral. Lineage: Bacteria; Pseudomonadati; Pseudomonadota; Gammaproteobacteria; Pseudomonadales; Pseudomonadaceae.
UCAAGUGAAGAAGCGCAUACGGUGGAUGCCUUGGCAGUCAGAGGCGAUGAAAGACGUGGUAGCCUGCGAAAAGCUUCGGGGAGUCGGCAAACAGACUUUGAUCCGGAGAUCUCUGAAUGGGGGAACCCACCUAGGAUAACCUAGGUAUCUUGUACUGAAUCCAUAGGUGCAAGAGGCGAACCAGGGGAACUGAAACAUCUAAGUACCCUGAGGAAAAGAAAUCAACCGAGAUUCCCUUAGUAGUGGCGAGCGAACGGGGAUUAGCCCUUAAGCUUCAUUGAUUUUAGCGGAACGCUCUGGAAAGUGCGGCCAUAGUGGGUGAUAGCCCCGUACGCGAAAGGAUCUUUGAAGUGAAAUCGAGUAGGACGGAGCACGAGAAACUUUGUCUGAACAUGGGGGGACCAUCCUCCAAGGCUAAAUACUACUGACUGACCGAUAGUGAACCAGUACCGUGAGGGAAAGGCGAAAAGAACCCCCGGAGAGGGGAGUGAAAUAGAACCUGAAACCGUAUGCGUACAAGCAGUGGGAGCCUACUUGUUAGGUGACUGCGUACCUUUUGUAUAAUGGGUCAGCGACUUAUAUUCAGUGGCAAGCUUAACCGUAUAGGGUAGGCGUAGCGAAAGCGAGUCUUAAUAGGGCGUUUAGUCGCUGGGUAUAGACCCGAAACCGGGCGAUCUAUCCAUGAGCAGGUUGAAGGUUAGGUAACACUGACUGGAGGACCGAACCCACUCCCGUUGAAAAGGUAGGGGAUGACUUGUGGAUCGGAGUGAAAGGCUAAUCAAGCUCGGAGAUAGCUGGUUCUCCUCGAAAGCUAUUUAGGUAGCGCCUCAUGUAUCACUCUGGGGGGUAGAGCACUGUUUCGGCUAGGGGGUCAUCCCGACUUACCAAACCGAUGCAAACUCCGAAUACCCAGAAGUGCCGAGCAUGGGAGACACACGGCGGGUGCUAACGUCCGUCGUGAAAAGGGAAACAACCCAGACCGCCAGCUAAGGUCCCAAAGUUGUGGUUAAGUGGUAAACGAUGUGGGAAGGCUUAGACAGCUAGGAGGUUGGCUUAGAAGCAGCCACCCUUUAAAGAAAGCGUAAUAGCUCACUAGUCGAGUCGGCCUGCGCGGAAGAUGUAACGGGGCUCAAACCACACACCGAAGCUGCGGGUGUCACGUAAGUGACGCGGUAGAGGAGCGUUCUGUAAGCCUGUGAAGGUGAGUUGAGAAGCUUGCUGGAGGUAUCAGAAGUGCGAAUGCUGACAUGAGUAACGACAAUGGGUGUGAAAAACACCCACGCCGAAAGACCAAGGGUUCCUGCGCAACGUUAAUCGACGCAGGGUUAGUCGGUUCCUAAGGCGAGGCUGAAAAGCGUAGUCGAUGGGAAACAGGUUAAUAUUCCUGUACUUCUGGUUACUGCGAUGGAGGGACGGAGAAGGCUAGGCCAGCUUGGCGUUGGUUGUCCAAGUUUAAGGUGGUAGGCUGAAAUCUUAGGUAAAUCCGGGGUUUCAAGGCCGAGAGCUGAGCUGAUGACGAGUCGUCUUUUAGAUGACGAAGUGGUUGAUGCCAUGCUUCCAAGAAAAGCUUCUAAGCUUCAGGUAACCAGGAACCGUACCCCAAACCGACACAGGUGGUCGGGUAGAGAAUACCAAGGCGCUUGAGAGAACUCGGGUGAAGGAACUAGGCAAAAUGGCACCGUAACUUCGGGAGAAGGUGCGCCGGCUAGGGUGAAGGAUUUACUCCGUAAGCUCUGGCUGGUCGAAGAUACCAGGCCGCUGCGACUGUUUAUUAAAAACACAGCACUCUGCAAACACGAAAGUGGACGUAUAGGGUGUGACGCCUGCCCGGUGCCGGAAGGUUAAUUGAUGGGGUUAGCGCAAGCGAAGCUCUUGAUCGAAGCCCCGGUAAACGGCGGCCGUAACUAUAACGGUCCUAAGGUAGCGAAAUUCCUUGUCGGGUAAGUUCCGACCUGCACGAAUGGCGUAACGAUGGCGGCGCUGUCUCCACCCGAGACUCAGUGAAAUUGAAAUCGCUGUGAAGAUGCAGUGUAUCCGCGGCUAGACGGAAAGACCCCGUGAACCUUUACUGUAGCUUUGCACUGGACUUUGAGCCUGCUUGUGUAGGAUAGGUGGGAGGCUUUGAAGCGUGGACGCCAGUUCGCGUGGAGCCAUCCUUGAAAUACCACCCUGGCAUGCUUGAGGUUCUAACUCUGGUCCGUAAUCCGGAUCGAGGACAGUGUAUGGUGGGCAGUUUGACUGGGGCGGUCUCCUCCUAAAGAGUAACGGAGGAGUACGAAGGUGCGCUCAGACCGGUCGGAAAUCGGUCGCAGAGUAUAAAGGCAAAAGCGCGCUUGACUGCGAGACAGACACGUCGAGCAGGUACGAAAGUAGGUCUUAGUGAUCCGGUGGUUCUGUAUGGAAGGGCCAUCGCUCAACGGAUAAAAGGUACUCCGGGGAUAACAGGCUGAUACCGCCCAAGAGUUCAUAUCGACGGCGGUGUUUGGCACCUCGAUGUCGGCUCAUCACAUCCUGGGGCUGAAGCCGGUCCCAAGGGUAUGGCUGUUCGCCAUUUAAAGUGGUACGCGAGCUGGGUUUAGAACGUCGUGAGACAGUUCGGUCCCUAUCUGCCGUGGACGUUUGAGAUUUGAGAGGGGCUGCUCCUAGUACGAGAGGACCGGAGUGGACGAACCUCUGGUGUUCCGGUUGUCACGCCAGUGGCAUUGCCGGGUAGCUAUGUUCGGAAAAGAUAACCGCUGAAAGCAUCUAAGCGGGAAACUUGCCUCAAGAUGAGAUCUCACUGGGAACUUGAUUCCCCUGAAGGGCCGUCGAAGACUACGACGUUGAUAGGCUGGGUGUGUAAGCGUUGUGAGGCGUUGAGCUAACCAGUACUAAUUGCCCGUGAGGCUUGACCAU